RNAcentral lists this long non-coding RNA (765 nucleotides) under Monodelphis domestica (gray short-tailed opossum). RNAcentral's name for it is "lncRNA (ENSMODG00000038082.1)". The record is from RNAcentral. Lineage: Eukaryota; Metazoa; Chordata; Mammalia; Didelphimorphia; Didelphidae.
AGAGAAUCUAUUGUAAAGCUAAGAAAGGGUCAGCGGAAUCAAGGAGGAGACAUGGAAAUAGCAGAAUGUUGCUUAGCUUGCUCAACAUCUCCUGAGAAUCAUCUACUGCUCAAGCCUGCCUCACUCAAGCGUGGCUGAUAAACACUGUUAGCUGGCACUGACCAGUAGGACGAGCGAACAAUGUUCUUGAAAGGCAAAGUCAAAGAAUCGUCCAUUGGUCAAGCUAGUUGUCAGAAGUUCUAGUGGUGAGAGGAGGCUGGUCUGGGUUAGGACCUUGUUUCAGUUCCAAGGUGGUGUCCUCUCUGCUUCCUUCACUGAACAUCUACCAUGUGCUACUUGACCUGGGAAUGAUUUGUGGAACUUGCCCCAGGUGAAGAAAAUGCCUAAUUAUAGUUCUGGCCUUCUGAACAGAUGAUGAGAGACACCUUGUAGGUAGCUAGUUUAGCUAGUGUUCCUAUGAAAACACUUAUGAGGAUGGAGCCUGAGGUUUAGCCAGACAAGGCUGGAGACCCCUAAUUGGAUGAAUAUUGACAAGGAUUAUAUAAAAGAAGACCCAUUGCACUCAGACCAGGAUGCUACAAAAGGUGCCAAAAACUUCAACAAGAUGUAUAAGGAAGCAGUAGAGAAGAAACCCCAAGUGACCCUCUGUUUGGGUUCUAGGGAAAUAUAGCUAAGAAAAAUGAAGAUUGAUUAAAAGAACUGGGGAAGUAGAGUCCUGAUAAGGGAAGACUUGGAGGAACACUAUUGUCUUCAAGUAUUUGAAAG